Molecule: non-coding RNA, 4723 nt
Organism: Paramisgurnus dabryanus
Lineage: Eukaryota; Metazoa; Chordata; Actinopteri; Cypriniformes; Cobitidae
Source: RefSeq, a predicted model, not a curated record
GUUCAUAAUACUAACACCACCAUGUAAAUAUAUAUAUAUUUAUAAACUUGAAUGGAUCCUGCAAUUGGUUUCCUAAAUUAAGUGAGUUGCUUUCACUUUGGCAGGUUGAAUAUAAUUUUUUUUUAAAUUGUAGUUUUCUUAAGUUAUACGAAAUGAUAAACAAUGCGCAAUGCGACACUGAGAAACUACAACUCCCAUGAGCACUCCCUGCACCCAAAGCACCACCUUCCAGAGAGCGCGCGCUCAUGGAUUUGCGAAUGCACAAGAGGAUGCAGUCUGAGCGCAUACACACUUCGGGAAGAUAAAACAAUUGCAUGAAAGUGAUUGAAGAGAUAUAAAUUGCAUGCACACUUUCAGGGCAAGAGCGGAGAGAAAUUCAGCGCACACCUGAAUGCACACGAAAUCAAAGGAAACCCACCAGCUGAGAGGUUCGCGCAUCACUUAUAAAAUAUAAUCUGCAUAAACAAGUUGACAGUAAAAUUCACGUUCAAUUUUUUGACAGUAUUUACAACCGUUGUUAAUAAAUAUUUAAAGUGGUUGGCGAGUGGUUUUGUGUUUAUCUUUUCAGUUAACCUUCUACACCCCUGCUUCAAUUUUAAUAUAUUCAUUAGAAGUUAAUCUAUUUAUGCCUUACUGGCAUGUUUUUCAUGCACCUUAAUAUAUUAUAUAUGAUCUAUACUGAUAUACCUGCUAUAUACCAGCUUAUAAAUAUUGUCCUUUGAAAUUCAAUCUGCAUCUAAUUUAGCUAAACCAAGUGAAAAUGCUGAGGGGCUAGUAACUUUGGAAAACAACUAGCCACUUUGGCUGGUGAGCAAAAAAGUUAAUGUCAAGCCCUGCUUUUAAUCCAAGUACAUAUUCAAAUAACUAACACGCAUAGACAUUAAACAUACUGAAUGAAUAAAAAAACAAAGCAUAUCACUUCCAAAUACGUUAAACUAUCACUUUUAAGAAAUCGCUGCCACUCGCUGGAAUUUAUAAAACUGCAGUAAUGAUUUAAGUGACGGUGGGCAGCAGAAAACUCCAGUAAGAGGCCUUUGCAAUGUUUCCCAUACGUUGAUUUAUUCGUGGCGCACCGCCACAGAAUCAGCGCUGGCGAGUAGCAUCUGCCUGCACAACUGGAGGCUGCACUUUUAGGACCGUAGUUUUAGGACCGCAGUUCUAGGACCCUGGAUUUUAGUGACAACGCCACCUAGCGAAUUAGAGGACCAGCAAAGAUGGACGACAAACAGAGUCAACUAAGGCACUGUACACCGUCGAGAAGCUGCUCACAAACAAGAGAAUGCUGAAAGAUGUUGAGAAACUCAGCCCUCACUUUCAAACUUCGUCUUUGGAAGCUUUUCACAGGGUAAUUUUACGCUUUGCUCCCAAAAACGUUGUAUUGUUAUGCAGACUGUACUUGGCAUGUAUGCAUUUCAAUGAGGACUCCAACCGUCCUCAGGCUAAAACAAAAAUGGGAAAGCCAGUGUAUAGGCUUUUGUUUCCCAAAGCCAAAAAGGGGGAAUACUCAGGGCCGGCGUCAUGGGGGGGCAUUCGCGGGCAGUGCCCCCCCGAACAGGUUGUUGUGCCCCCCUACAAAGUUUUUAUUAAUUUAAUAUAUAUCAAGAAUAAUUAAAAUAAAUUAAACAUUGAAUGUUUCAUGACUUGUAAUGUAAUCAAAUGAUGAAAAUAUAGUUGAUAUAUGUUUUCUUUAAUUAAAAUAGACCAGUUUCUCUGAUUGGAUGUAUUGCCGCGUCUCACCCGUCUUAAGUCUUUAGCAUAUUUGUGACUUGAUACUAGCAACGUGUUUUUUCGCGGCAUUUUAUGGAUCGUGUAAAAUAUGAAUAUUAGAACAUUUAGAACGAAUCAGCACCGCCUGCUUCAUCUGACUUCAUUGAAACACAGACUGGCUCAAACUCAGAGAUUAGAGGUCGAGGUGGAAUUUACAGGACACUGUUUUAAGGAAGUUUAAUGUUCGUACACACCGUCUUCAGCUAUUUUAAAGGUAAGUUAGCGUUGUUUUAAAUUACGCAAGCUUAAAUGUGAAGUGUGGCUAUAGACCGUUAACAGCAUUACGACGUGAUUAUGGUAAAGCGGCUUUUUUAAAGCUAGGACGCGGUGUGCGCUGUGCCCAUUCAUUUCAAUGGCUUGCGCCGCGCGAGGGCGGUUUGUUGUUGCGUCGAGUAGCGCGAGCGCAGCGGAGCUCAGCUUGCGCUCACGCCGCGGUCGAAGUUCAGUAGUUUUGCGCAUAGUUUGUGGUUUUUGCACUUUAUACGGGAAGUGAGCUGACAGUCUGUACCAGUUGUAUGAGUGUGUGCUUGCUGUAUUUGUUGUUUUAAUGUCUUGUUUCUGCAAGUUAUUGUUGCUAUUGCGUGCCCCCCGUUGGAAGCCGAGUGCCCCCCUGUUAGUUAUGGUCUGGCGCCGGCUCUGGGAAUACUCCACACGUCCAUUAAAGACACAGGCAACAUAUUGUAAGUUUAAAGAGCACCUAUUAUGGGAUACACGUUUUUAAACAUCCUUUUGUGUGUAAGUGUGUAUUAGUACAUGCUAACGAUAUUCAAAAAGUACAUACCUCAAAGAAAACAAUGACGCGAAUUAUCGUCUCUAACGUUUGAGGACUACAAAAAACACUCGGAUUGUAGGCAACAGUUUACUUCCUGGGAUUAGUGACGUAGAUAAGACCAACAUUAUCAUAGUUCAGCCCUCUCUGCUUUGCUUGGGGUGCACUCAAAGACGGGGGUGGGGAGCGCCGAGUCAGAAGAGAGCUAAAAUGGCGGAGGUUGUGAGUUCCUGCUUUGACUCUGUUUGCAAACUCUUGUUUCAUCGUUUAAGCGAUUAAAUCUCUCGAGUAGAUGCUGUCUCUUUAGAUGCGAGGGCAAAAUAGCACUUUAUGGACUUUCACAGAGGACAUCAUGUUUAAUACGGUUCCGGAAAAAUCCAGUCAGAAGUUGUUCACGGAGUUUUCACAAUAACUGCUUCUCAUGAACCGAAGCUGGAUUUGCGCGACGUCUCCUCUUGAAAGUUGGAUUACUGUGCACUUCUGGAUCACAGGCUAUUCGCAGCUGGACACGUCCUUCUACACUGAAUGCAAACAUGCAACAUCAUUACACACAGUACAAGGAGUCAGACUGGCAUAUGAGGAGCAAAGGAACCCAGGCAGUAGCAUCGUUUCACAAUGUUUCCAUCACCAUCAUCAGUGGAUGCCUUUGCCGUCCGUAGCCUGAGAUUUCAGAUUUGCAGCAAAAAUUUUUUGAUUUUCUCAUUUAUUGGAAUGCUGUGCAGGUAUUUGUACCUUGCAGCCAUCCAUUACAAUGUCACCAAGCCGUAACAAAAGCAGGAGAGGGAAAGUACAAGGCUAUGUUCCCAAAACACACAAGUGACAUACCUUAUGUGGAUGAUGUGAUCAGGCUUGUGUUUGAUGAGGUAUUUGAAGAUAAGCUGAAGGAAACCCCGAUUCCAAUGGACCUGGCAUCACAGUUUGAGAGACCUUCAAAGGAGGACGUGAUUGCAUGCCAUCUUCAGUGCAGGGGUCGUCGAAAGCCAAAAUUGUGACACAUCUGAUCAGGAAGCUCCAAGCAUAUCUGGAGAACAACACACGACAGGAUGAUAACCUCAUAGUGUCGUCUUAAAUAGCACCAGCUGACAAAGCUUUGAUAUGCCAUUUAUCUGAAUAGAUAGCUGUAAGAAAUGAAUUGAACAAUUUUUGAAACAAGAGCACAAUAUGGUUACUAAAGUAUGUUUAUUUGUAUAUUGUUUAACAUUUAAAUAUAUAUUUGUAAUAAAUAAAAAAAACUUUUGACUGACUAUUAUAUUUUCUUUAAAGUUACAUCUUUUGUUCUUUUGGGUACUUUGUUACUAUAAUGAUACUUUAGUGUUAUUGGUUUAAAAAUUUAAUAAAACUUACUCUAGUCCUGCACCUCAAAGGCUUAUAGUCGGUACAAUAAAUGUUCUGUGUGUAGGGAUUUAGACAAUUUGUGCAAAACCUGGAUGAUGAAUCACGCAGGUAAGAGGCCCUGGAACAUGUUGCAUUCUCCUUAAAACCUAAUAAGUAAAAACAUAGCACUUAUAAGUAAGCAGUCUUUCAUAAAAAAGUUUACCAUAGUGAAAUAAUGUAGAACAUUCAUUUCAAUUAAUAAUUUCUUUGUGCUACAUUUGGUGUUUCCAUAUAGUUUGCACAGUAAUAUAGUAUGUAACAGUCUUUUAUAAUAAAGUUUACUAUAGAGGGUUUUCACGGCGCGUCAUCAGAGCGGAAGACGCCAUAUUGGAGGCACUCCGCAUUACAACAGAGCAGACACUGAUGUAUAUGCCGAACGUCGUCAAGGAAAAUAGUUAAUUAUUGCCGUGUUUGAGAUGGUACCAACAGUACAUAUUGAGAAAAACAUUUGGAUUAUUAUCGACUUCCAAAAGUUAUUAAAAACCAGGGAAAGGAAUGCAAGAAAUUAUCAGAGGAGCGGCGCUUGUGGUUGGUAAAGCUCAGGAAAAAGAGUAGUAUUGUAUUAGAAAUAUGAUUGAAGUACAUAAAGUAUAAAACAAUUAUGCUUCUACUUGUUGUGCUUUAUUUAAAGAGUAUUUAAUAUGUACUUUAGUGUAUGCACAAAAUGUACUUAAACACAAAUAAAAUUUGCGCUGCAAUGCCUUAAUGCCAAUGUGCUUAAUUGCUCAUAACAAAUUUUCUAUUGUAAUGAUAAUAAUAUUUUUUUAUAGUAAAUGGUAAAAACAAUUAUUGCUUUUAUUUUUUACUGUGCUU